This 74-nucleotide transfer RNA is filed under the name Candidatus Woesearchaeota archaeon. Its description in RNAcentral is "tRNA-Ala". It matches the Rfam family "tRNA". From Rfam's summary of the family: Transfer RNA (tRNA) molecules are approximately 80 nucleotides in length. Their secondary structure includes four short double-helical elements and three loops (D, anti-codon, and T loops). Lineage: Archaea; Nanobdellati; Candidatus Woesearchaeota. The record is from RNAcentral.
GGGCUUGUAGCUCACCCUGGUAGAGCGCACCGUUCGCAACGGUGAGGCCGCGGGUUCAAAUCCCGCCAAGUCCA